This 583-nucleotide ribosomal RNA is filed under the name Salmonella enterica subsp. enterica serovar Give. RNAcentral's name for it is "partial 23S ribosomal RNA". It matches the Rfam family "Bacterial large subunit ribosomal RNA", at positions 711 to 1290 of the family's 2925-position model. RNAcentral also lists the same sequence under 1 other name. Lineage: Bacteria; Pseudomonadati; Pseudomonadota; Gammaproteobacteria; Enterobacterales; Enterobacteriaceae. The record is from RNAcentral.
AGACCCGAAACCCGGUGAUCUAGCCAUGGGCAGGUUGAAGGUUGGGUAACACUAACUGGAGGACCGAACCGACUAAUGUUGAAAAAUUAGCGGAUGACCUGUGGCUGGGGGUGAAAGGCCAAUCAAACCGGGAGAUAGCUGGUUCUCCCCGAAAGCUAUUUAGGUAGCGCCUCGUGAAUUCAUCUCCGGGGGUAGAGCACUGUUUCGGCUAGGGGGCCAUCCCGGCUUACCAACCCGAUGCAAACUGCGAAUACCGGAGAAUGUUAUCACGGGAGACACACGGCGGGUGCUAACGUCCGUCGUGAAGAGGGAAACAACCCAGACCGCCAGCUAAGGUCCCAAAGUCAUGGUUAAGUGGGAAACGAUGUGGGAAGGCCCAGACAGCCAGGAUGUUGGCUUAGAAGCAGCCAUCAUUUAAAGAAAGCGUAAUAGCUCACUGGUCGAGUCGGCCUGCGCGGAAGAUGUAACGGGGCUAAACCAUGCACCGAAGCUGCGGCAGCGACGCUUAUGCGUUGUUGGGUAGGGGAGCGUUCUGUAAGCCUGUGAAGGUGUGUCGUGAGGCAUGCUGGAGGUAUCAGAAGUG